Molecule: unclassified non-coding RNA, 256 nt
Filed under: Hevea brasiliensis (rubber tree)
Lineage: Eukaryota; Viridiplantae; Streptophyta; Magnoliopsida; Malpighiales; Euphorbiaceae
Source: RNAcentral
GGGCCUGAGAACCUUCCUAAUUCCCACUAAUAAAAGGCAACACGAAGACAUAAUUUUUCAUUUUUCAACGUCCAUAUGUAUCUAUUUCCAAAGUUUUCCAGCACGAGAAUAACAAAAAAUUAAAGGAUCCAAUAUCUUCUCUUUCGAAACAAAAGUUUCGCCUAAAUAAUAAUUCAAAAUAAUUUUUUAAAAAUUGAGUUAAAAUUUUGGCAUAUUAAUUACAGUUGCACUACAAGCCUAAGACAUAGACAUCAAA